RNAcentral lists this long non-coding RNA (34750 nucleotides) under Setaria italica (foxtail millet). RNAcentral's name for it is "long non-coding RNA (SITA_LNC003988)". The record is from RNAcentral. Lineage: Eukaryota; Viridiplantae; Streptophyta; Magnoliopsida; Poales; Poaceae.
ACCAACUGUCCGACGGGAUCCCCAGAAGCGUUGCUAAGCUAAGCCAGCUGACGGAAAUGGACCUGAGCAGGAAUCAGCUCACCGGAGGCAUACCGGUAGAGCUCGGCGCCAUGCCGGUGUUAAGUGUCCUUAACCUGUCGUCGAACAAGCUCUCCGGCAACGUGCCGCAGGCGCUUGCGAAGCCGACACUCACCGCCCUAACCUGUCCUCGAACCAUCAGACCGGCCAGGUCCCGGCCGGGUUCGCCACCGCGGUCUACGACACCAGCUUCCUCAACAACCCCGGCCUCUGCACCGCCGCUUGGGGACCUGGCUACCUCACGGGCGUACGCUCCUGCGCCGGUGGAUCACAAGACGGCGGUUCCUCCGGAGGCGUGUCGCACGCCCUGCGCAGGGGAACCUCGCCGUGGCGUUCGCCUUCUUCGUCGUCCGCGACAUCAAGAAACGGCGGCGCGUCGCGGAGCAAGACAACUGGAAGAUCACGCCUUUCGUCAAAGAUCUGGGAUUCGGUGAGGCACCCAUACUCCGGGGGCUGACGGAGGAGAACCUCGUCGGGCGCGGGGGAUCGGGGCGCGUGUACCGCGUCGCCUACACCAACCGGCUUAACGGCCGAGCCGGCGCGGUGGCCGUAAAGCAAAUACGGACCGCCGGGAAGCUCGACCAGAAGCUGGAACGCGAAUUCGCGUCAGAGGCUGGCAUCAUCGGCAACCUCCGGCACAACAACAUCGUCAAGCUCUUGUGUUGCCGCUCCAGCGCCGAGUCCAAGCUCCUCGUGUACGACUAUGGACAACGGCAUCCUGGACAGGUGGCUCCACGGCGACGCCCUCGUCGCCGGCGGGCGCCCCAUGGCGAGGGCGCGGUCCGCGCGGCGCGAGCCGCUGGACUGGCCGGCGAGGCUCAGGGUGGCCGUCGACGCCGCGCAGGGGCUGUGCUACAUGCACCACGAGUACGAGCCGCCCAUCGUCCACCGCGACGUCAAGACGAGCAACAUCCUGCUGGACUCGGAGUUCCGGGCCAAGAUCGCCGACUUCGGGCUGGCCACAGGAUGCUGCUGCAGGCCGGGGCGCCGGAAACGAUGUCCGCCGUCGCUGGCUCGUUCGGCUACAUGGCUCCUGGUAAGGAUUCAAACUUGCUGCUUUCAGUGAAUUUCUGUCCCAUUUCUACAAAUGCCACGUGUUCUCGUGUUGCCGGACCUUAGAUUGGGCCUUUUGAUGCUUAUCUGCAGAGUGUGCUUACACCAAGAAGGUGAACGAGAAGGUAGACAGCUUCGGUGUAAUUCUCCUGGAGCUCACCACCGGAAAGGAGGCCAACAACGGCGGCGAGCACGGCUGCCUGGCGGACUGGGCACGGCGCCACUACCAAUCAGGAGGGAGCAUCGCCGACGCCACAGACAAGAGCAUCAGAUACGACGGGUACUCUGACGAGAUCCAGGUUGUCUUCAGGCUCGGCGUGCUCUGCACCGCCGAUAUGCCGUCGUCGCGGCCAACAUGAACGACGUGCUGCAGAUCUUGGUCAAGUGCAGCGAGCAGACGUACCACAAGGGCAAGACGGAGCGUGGCCUCUUGUAUGAGGUGGCUCUUCUACCCAAACGCGGCAUUCGCCGGAAACAGCUUUCAAACGGCUCGGGGAUCGACAUCGAAGAGAAGAUGACAGCAUUGUCUGAAGAAAGGAACUGACCACUGCAUAUGCCAGUAAGCAGCUUGUGACAUCGUCAGUGAACUGCUUGCUAUAGUGAUACUUCACAUUUUAGCAGAGUACAGCGGAGAAUUAUGCCUCUAAUCUUUUUUUUUCUGAGGAGCUAAGUAUCUUUAUAUUAAAAAGAGAAUAUAAAUAGAAAAAAUCAGUCCAUUGGAAGCAACCACUCUAGCUCACCUAGGAGAAUAGAGAGAUUGCAUAAAUAAGCGAAGAAAAAACCGUCACCAGACCUUGACCCUGCACGGCUGGACUAGGGACAUGCAUAGUAUAGAGCAGGGCUUGUGGUUAGCCAAACCGUUCUGUGUAUUGAUACUGCAAAUCUGUAUUAAAUCACACACACAUUAUACGUUCCGACAGAAGAACUAGCAAACAUUACGAUUAUACUCCCUCCGUUCUUAAAUAUAUAACGCUAUUGACUUUUUUAUUUGUUUGACUAUUCAUCUUUUCUACAAAUAUUUUUGCAAAUAGAUAAACCUACGAGUUAAAUUUAAAGUACAUUCCACAAUAGUCAUAAUGAUACACAUUUUACUUUAGUUAACUAACUCAUUCAAUAGAUAUUGAUGGUCAAAGUUGAAGUAAAAAGCCAACAGCGUCAUAUAUUUAAGAAUGGAGGGAGUAAUUUAUUUCUGAAAUAAAGGCAGGAGAUGGAGCUCUGCUUAUCCAUUCAGAAAUUAGUACGAUUGAAUGAUUUUGUCUCCUUCCAGUUUAAAACACAGAAUAUUACACGGAUAGGCACUGAUUGUUAUCCGGAAGAAAAUGAAUUUUUAUAUUUCAAAAGAAAAGGCCCAAUUUGCACCCUCUAGCUAGCACGAUAAUCCAAUUUUCAGCUAAACUGACCAUGGGCCGGCCCAAAGGCACAGGAAUUUGGCCCGGUCUAGGCAUGGCAGCCGUCGUGCCCGUGCUAGCCCGACCCACACCAUGGGCCGUGCUUGGGCCGUUGCCUCAGCCCACGUACUGGUCCGGCACGGCCUGCCCAUUUGGCCCGUCGGGAUUAAGUGGGCGGCCCAUCCUAUUAAGGCCCACUCGACCGCAUAUAAAACCCCCCACCCCCAAACGGCCAAAUCCUACCUUCCUCCUCGUGUCCCGCGCCCUUCGCCGCCGUCACCUCCCCCGCGCCCUUCGCCGCCUCUCGCGCCCGCCGGCCGCUCGCGCCCUCCGCCGCUUCCCCCCGCCGCCUCCCUCACGCCCUCCGCCGCAUCCUCCCACCGCCUUCCUCGUGCCCUCUGCCACCUCCCGCGCCCGCUGGCCUCUCGCUCCCCUGCCACCUCCCCCGCGGCCCUCUGCCGCCUCCUACACCCGCCGGUCCCUUGCCGCAACUGGGGAAGAUGGUGGCCUGCACGGCGGCGCGCGCAAACGUCCUGUCGUCCCUCGGCGGUGGGAGUUGCGGCACGAGUGGGCGCCUGGGCAGAUCCGGGAAAGGUCUAUGGGCGCCCUGACGACGAGGUGGUCGAAGUCAUCGGGGCUAUCGGACUCGACGACGAUAGGCGCUACGGGCGUAUGAGCAGAGGAAGGGUGAAUUCUGUGCCGCAGGCUGGCACGAGCACGCUGAGGCCGUUAUGGCCCGCCAGGCCAGCGUGCCGGCACGGCCCACCUAAGAAGGCUGCGGGUCAUGCCUGGACCGCUCCUUCGGCACAUGGGCCGGCACGGCCUGGCACUAUUACCGUGCAAGCCUAACCGUGCCGGGCCUAACCGUGCCAGGCCAAAUCGUGCUCGUGCCAGGCCGGGUUGGGCUACCCAUUUGGCCAUCUAUACAUCCAACGGUUGAAACCAGAUAAAUUUUAUCCUUUAGCUGGUUUCAAAGAUGUUUUUUUUGUUUUAUUAGACAUUUAAAAAAAAUCUGAUUUAAUCUAAAAAUCCAUAACUAAUUAAUUUUAAAUCAUAAAAGUAUGAAACUAUUACCCAUCAUCUUUUUCUAGAAUGUUACCUUUUAUGUUGGUUUUUUUGAGUUAUUUGCAUAUUAUUGUCCCCAUCUCUAGUGUUUUAUUGCUUGUAGUCAAACCUGCUAUUUUUUUAUUGUUGUUUUGCAUUGUAUGAUUAUUGGAUGCUAUGUGAUACAAAGAUAAUUGUUCAACAACCAUAUGCAUCAUGAAGAAAUUUCCGGAUACGAUUGAUAUUAGUACAUUAUUAACUUCCCAUCAAGAAAUAUCAAUGAAGUGUUUUAUAUGAAUAUUUUUAAUGCACCUUGAGUUUUUGGAUAACCUUUUUCAUAAAAGUUAAUUAGAUGUAUUCUUAACUAAAUAAGCCAUUUGGUAAAUUUUCAAAAAUGUUUAUUGAGGUAACAGAAAAUUUAUUUAUUUAUUCUGGAAAAAGUUUUUUUAACGAAGUUAGCAAGGAAAGCACCUACCUAUUUUUUAUUUGUUAUUUUAGACCCGUUUAAUUCGCUCCCACGAGAAGUUGAAUAUAGACCUGCAAGAUGUUACUCAGGUGCUCUAACCACUAGACUAGAGUCCCUUUCGCUUCUGAAAAAGGUUUUACAAAAAUCUUUUCCCUAUUAUCUUUUGUUAAGUCUGGGAUGUUGCCGCACGUGGGAAAGAAAGAACGGGAAACAUAGACCGAGACCGCUGCUGCGCCGCCACCAUGCUUUGCCGUCGGAGGGUUAGGGUUCGGGGUUUCGGGUUAUGGGUCAUCGAUGGCGCGGCUAUCUCCGAUGUGGCUGGGAUAUAUGGGAGGUUGACGGUGGCUAGGUAGCAGGCGGUGGUGGCGGGUUGUGUGCGGGAUGGCGGGACACCACCAGUUCCGAUCUGUGGAAGACAAUAGGUGGCCUCUAGAGGCAGCGGGGGAAUCUUGGUGAGCUUCCCGCGCGGGGCUGGGUUAGGGCGGCGAAGGAUGGUGGCGGUGGAUGUGGCAGCGCGAGCCGCCGAAGAUGAUGGAGGAUGGCGGCGCGGGCGCGAGCAAAGGAGGAUAGUGCGAUGGUGAUCGAGGGUUGCGACCGGCGACGCCGGAUGCAGUGGCGAGAGUCGUCGGAGCUAGAGGAGGAGGGCGGCGCGGGGGCAUGGGCGUGCGCGCUCCUGGGCUGCCAUCACUGAAGGUGACAUUGGUGAUUUUUGUCACCUUCUGUGAUAUAUAGAUAUAGACAUGCUCUAGAUAGAGGACUCCUUGGAGAGACCCCGAGAAUGGAGAUGGGCAUUUGGAGGUCUUCCAAAAUAAGGAAUCUAGAGGACUUGCUAGAAUGCAUUUUUUUUGACUUGGGCCAUUGGAGUUGUUCUAAGCCAACAACUAUUAGCAUCCUUUUAGAUAACUCUGUUAAUCUGAAAUACAACAGUUUCCUACUUUAUGUAUAAUGAGUGUCAUUGCGUCACUACGUGCGAGGUCUACUUUAUGGCGGAUCUGAAGGUGUGUUUGGUUGGGAUGUGGCUUUUGGAAAAGCUAUUGUGAGCUGUGGGCUGUGAAAAAGUAGCGGGGAGAAAGCAGCUGUGGGAAAAGCUGAAGACCGUUUGGUUAGAGCAGCUACGAAACUGUAGGUUGUGUAAGAAAUACCUGUAAUGCCCCUAAAGGUCUGUGGGUGUGUUUACAUGCAAAUUGCUCAUAACAAAAUAAUGUGUUCACUAAUUCACAUGUAAAUGACUAUUUUAGAAAGGAAAAAAAAUAAAUUUUAUAUGUUCUUCAUCCAUCUAAGUGAUUGGUCCACAUAAAUAGAACAAUAUCCAUCAAAAGGUUUAUACAAUGAUGUCAUCUCUCAACCAAAUAAAAGUCUUCUUCUAGACCAGUAGUACCAAAUAAAAGUCCAAAACCCACGCAGCAAACCGAACGGGGCUCGUGCCAGUCUAACAAAAACCAACUCCCGCUCCCUCCGCAUUUGAUUGCAGAAGCAGAUCGUCCUCCUCUUGCUGCGUUAGUAAGGUACAUAAUAAUACAAGUAUUGCUAACUUGAUGAAGGAAUCAUGUAUACCUUUAGGAGGCACGAGAAAUAUGUCACACCACGCCGCGCGUCCGUGUACCCGCGUAUCCUCGGUCUCGUGCUCGUGCUGCUCCGCGCGGCUGCGCAGCCCCCGCCGGCGGGCGAGGCGCGGCUGCUGCUCGAGAUCAAGCGCGCGUGGGGCGACCCGACCGUGCUCGCGGGGUGGAACGGCACGGCCGCGGCCGCGCUCUGCAGCUGGCCGCACGUCGGGUGCGACGCGUCCGGGCGCGUCGUGAACCUCACCCUCGCGAACGCUCACGUCGCGGGGCCCUUCCCUGACGCCGUCGGCAACCUCUCCGGCCUCACGUACCUCGACGUCUCCAACAACAGCAUCAGGUCCGUGUUCCCGAGCGCGCUGUACCGCUGCGCUUCGCUUCAGUACCUCAACCUCUCCCAGAACUAAUUCGGCGGUGUGCUCCCGGCAGAAAUCGGCAGCGGCCUCGCCGCGAGCUUGACCACGCUGGACCUCGACGGCAACGAGUUCAACGGCACCAUCCCGGCGUCGCUCUCCCGGCUCCGGAACCUCGAGUAUCUCGCGCUGAACAGCAACCGCUUCACCGGUAUCAUCCCAGCGGAGCUCGGCGAGCUCGCGAGCCUGCAGGUGCUGUAUCUGGAUAACAACCCGUUCAACGCAGGCCAGCUGCCGGCGUCGUUCAAGAAUCUGACCAACCUGGUCAGCCUCACGGCGUCGCAGUGCAAUCUCGUCGGGGACUUCCCGAACUUUCUUUGGAGCCUGAAGAAGCUGCAACAAUUGUAUCUGUACACGAACAACAUCACCGGCGACAUGGUCGUUGAUGGAUUUGCGGCGAGAAGCUUGACAGAAAUCGACGUCUCAGAAAACAAAAUUAGUGGAGUCAUCCCUGAAGUGUUUGGGGGAUUGGAGAACCUCACACUCUUGAACCUCUUCAUGAACAACUUCUCCGGCGAGGUACCAGCCAGCAUCGGCCAGUUGCCGUUACUGAGGAUAUUGAGACUCCACACCAACAGGCUCAACGGCACGCUCCCACCGGAGCUCGGAAAGCAGUCGCCGGGUUUGUAUUAUGUUGAGGUUGACUACAAUGAGUUCACCGGCGUGAUCCCGGAAGGGCUGUGCACCGGAGGCAACUUACAGUACCUCACCGCCAAGAGCAACCGAUUGAACGGCUCCAUCCCGGCAGGCCUUGCCAACUGCACCACUCUGGAAACCCUGUCGCUGGACAAUAACCAGCUCUCCAGCGACGUGCCAGAGGCUCUCUGGACGGCAACGCAGCUUUACUUCGUGACACUACAGGGUAACCAGCUCACCGGAAGUCUUCCUGCGACGAUUCUUCUCAACAUUUCGACGUUACGCAUUGGGAACAACCAAUUCAGUGGCAACAUUCCGGCUGCAGUAGCUGCUCUCCAGGUGUUCACCGCCGAGAACAACCGGUUUUCUGGUGCGAUACCGGCGAGUCUUGGCGACGGCAUGCCGCUGCUGCAAAGACUCAGCUUGUCCGGGAACCAACUGUCCGGCGGGAUCCCGAGAAGCGUUGCUAAGCUAAGCCAGCUGACGCAAAUGGACCUGAGCAGGAAUCAGCUCACCGGCGGCAUACCGGCAGAGCUCGGCGCCAUGCCGGUGUUAAGUGUCCUUGACCUGUCGUCGAACAAGCUCUCCGGCAACGUACCGCAGGCGCUUGCGAAGCCACAACUCACCUCCCUGAACCUGUCCUCGAACCAGCUGAGCGGUCAGGUCCCGGCCGGGUUCGCCACAGCGGUCUACGACACCAGCUUCCUCGACAACCCCGGCCUCUGCACCGCCGCUGCGGGAUCCGGCUACCUCACUGGCGUCCGCUCCUGCGCCGGCGGAUCACAAGACGGCGGUUCCUCCGGAGGCGUCUCGCACGCGCUCCGCACAGGCCUCCUCGUCGCCGGCGCCUCGCUCCUCCUCAUCGCCUCGGCGUUUGCCUUCUUCGUCGUCCGCGACGUCAAGAAACGGCGGCGCGUCGCGGAGCAAGACGACUGGAAGAUCACACCUUUCGUCAAAGAUCUGGGAUUCGGUGAGGCACCCAUACUCCGGGGCCUGACGGAGGAGAACCUCGUCGGGCGCGGGGGAUCGGGGCGCGUGUACCGCGUCGCCUACACUAACCGGCUUAACGGCAGAGCCGGCGCGGUGGCCGUGAAACAAAUACGGACCGCCGGGAAGCUCGACCAGAAGCUGGAACGCGAGUUCGCGUCGGAGGCUGGCAUCCUCGGCAGCCUCCGGCACAACAACAUCGUCAGGCUCUUGUGUUGCCUCUCCAACGCCGAGUCCAAGCUCCUCGUGUACGACUACAUGGACAACGGCGGCCUGGACAGGUGGCUCCACGGCGACGCCCUCGUCGCUGGCGGGCGCCCGAUGGCGAGGGCGCGGUCCGCGCGGCGCGAGCCGCUGGACUGGCCGGCGAGGCUCGGGGUGGCCGUCGGCGCCGCGCAGGGGCUGUGUUACAUGCACCACGAAUGCGAGCCACCCAUCGUUCACCGCGACGUCAAGGCGAGCAACAUCCUGCUGGACUCGGAGUUCCGGGCCAAGAUCGCCGACUUCGGGCUGGCCACGAUGCUGCUACAGGCCGGGGCGCCCGAGACGAUGUCCGCCGUCGCCGGAUCGUUCGGCUACAUGGCUCCUGGUAAGGAUCCGAACUUGCUAUUUACAGUAGAUUUCUGUCCCAUUUUUCCAGAUUCAGACAUUAAGUAACUAGGGAGCAUCUACUGUAGCUGUAGCAUAUGUCACGAGUUAUCGUAUUGCCGGACCUUCGAUUUGGCGUUUGAUGCUUAUCUGCAGAGUGUGCUUACACCAAGAAGGUGAGCGAGAAGGUUGACGUCUACAGCUUUGGCGUCGUCCUCCUGGAGCUCACCACCGGCAAGGAGGCCAACUACGGCGGCGAGCACGGCAGCCUGGCGGAAUGGGCACGACACCACUACCAGUCAGGAGGGAGCAUCCCCGACGCCACAGACAAGAGCAUCAGAUACGCAGGGUACUCCGACGACAUCGAGGUUGUUUUCAGGCUAGGCGUGCUCUGCACCGCAGAGAUGCCAUCGUCGCGGCCAACCAUGAACGACGUGCUGCAGAUCUUGGUCAAGUGCAGCGAGCGGACGCACCAGAAGGGCAAGACGGAGCGUGGCCCGGAGUAUGAGGCUGCCCCGCUACUUUCCAACGGCUCGGGGAUUGAGAUUGAAGAGAAGAUCGACUUCGACCGCAUUGUCUGAAGAAAGGAACCGACCACUGCACAGGCCAGUAAACAACCUUCGACAGCAUCAGAGAACGGCUGUAGUGAUACUUCAGUUAGCACAUUUUAGCAGAGUGCAGCGAGGGCUAUAGUUGUCACAAGACCUUGACCCUGCACUAGGUCGUUAGUACAGGCAUGUUAUAGAUCAGGGCUUGUGGCGAACCAAACCGUUUCUGUGUUUUGACACUGCAAACUUGUAUUAUUAAAUCACAAACACAUUAGACUAGUCAGACAGAAGAACCAGCAAAUGUGAUGAUUUCCUUUUGAAACAAAGGCAGAAGAUGGAGUUCUGCAUGUCUAUUCAAAAAUCAGUACGAUUGCAUGAAUUCAUCCACCUGUUUAUUGUAAAAGCACUGGUUGGUUGGGAUAUGGCAUCAUAAUACAAACUUGGAGUGAUAAGGAAAAUGAAGCUGGAAGGAAGGGCUACUGCCCCAAGAACUCCAUUGGAGCUAGUAGAGGAGGAGGAGGAGGAGGAGAAGGUAGGGAAAAGAAGAAGAAGAAAAGAUGAAGAGGUGGUGGAGAUGGGGAAGGAAGAAGCUAGCCCCCUAUAUUUGUACUUUGUCUCAGCCAUUGAGGGGGUGUUUGGAUAUUAGGUCCUAAACUUUAGACAUGUCACAUCGGAUGUUCGGAUGCUAAUUAGGAGAACUAAACAUGAGCUAAUUAUAAAACUACUUGCAGAAUCCCUGGGCUAAUUCGCGAGACAAAUCUAUUAAGGCUAAUUAAUCCAUCAUUAGUAAAUGGUUAUUGUAGCACCAUAUUGUCAAAUCAUGGACUAAUUAGGUUUAAUAGAUUCGUCUCACAAAUUAGACUUCAUCUGUGUAAUUAGUUUUAUAAUUAGACUAUGUUUAAUACUUCUAAUCAGUAUCCAAACAUCCGAGGUGACAGAUGUUAAAGUUUAUCACGUGGGAGCCAGCCCCUGAAUGUGCUAUAUUUCGAACUCAUUGACGCCAUGCGGUUUUUUUUUAUUUUUAACCUUUUUUAUUUUUAUUUUUAAAAAUAACCUCUGCCGAACUUUAUUUGCGGCAGAUGACCCUUUGCUCGCGCCAGACCGCCUGGCGCGGCAGGAAGCCUCUGCCGUGCCACAUGCAUUGGUGUGGCGGACCCCUGCCACGCUGGCGCGGCGACUUGCCGCACCAGGUGGGCACUGACGUGGGCGGGCGCUCGCCGCGCCAGCCCGCCUAGCACGGGCAGCGCCUCACCUAGACACGCACGCUGGCUCCUUCCUUCCUCCCUCCCUCCUUUCUUCUUCCUCCAGAACACCCGUGCCCUAGGGUAUGUUUUGGACUUGAGAGCAAGGGGGCAGCCUCAGUGGUGGAUACUCCGUCCCAAAGCAUACUCUUGUCAUAUAAGGACUGGUUCAUUGGGCGAGUCUUUCUUGUGAACCGUACAACCAUACAUGCCAAAAAAGUACAACCUUCGGAAGUACCUACCUAUGUGAGGCCUUGGUUCAAACCCCGCUAGCUGAACCUAGUCAACCAUCCCAAGGGGUCAAGGUGGGCAACGGGUAUACUGGAGCAGGACCUUCGCAUAGUCCCAGGUCCGGUCAGCACGGGUCGACUGUUGAGAGGGCCGGAGGCCCUGAUAAUUUAUUUAUGCAUGCCUUUCCUGGGAUAGUAUCAGCAGGCCCCUAUUUAGACCCCAGUAUAUCCGUGGAUGGACCUAAGGAAUGCCGUCCAGAGAUGGACACGGGCAGGUACAGAUCUCGUAGGCUAGUAAGUACUAUGUAUGGGCUAGCCGGACAUAUGGGGAAAGUGUACACCUCUGCGCAGAGUAUAAUCUAUUCGAAUAGCCGAGGCUUACGGUCACGAGCCUACUAAGUCAAAGCCCCCAUGAUUACUCUUUCAAGCUCUUUGGGUGGGAUUAGUGUGUUAAAAUUAUUGGAUGAAGGUCGAAUGACUGGAUUCCAGGACUAAAACGUGGGGAUUGGUACGGGAGGUAGUUUUCCCCUCUAUAACCAUCACUCUAAAAUAACAUGCUUUUAGAAGAGUAUUUUCAAUUCUCACCUUUUAAUUCACCUUGCAUAUGAGAGAUGCUUUAGGCUUAGGAUUAUACCUAUAAACCAUGUUCCUUAUCCACCUCCUAAAUUGCAUAUAAUUACUUGGUAAAUGUUGGGACUUGCUGAGUACCAACCAUAAGUAUACGCAACCUUACUUUCAUCAUGCAGGUGUAGAUCUCCAGAUCUCCAGGUGUUAUAAACCAUCUUGUUAGUGGAUAGGCACCACUUCGCUACAUUAAGGUGAAAAACUUUUCUUAUUAAAUUAGACACCUUUUCUUUCUUAAAUACUAAGUUGUGAUGAUAAUGGUAUUAGCCUACUAAUCCAGGGACUAAUACAUGUGAUCAGCGGGACUCCCAAAGAGAGGUCCCACAGGCUGUCUCCAGUGUGACCAGGAUAUAGAAGAGGUCAUUGGCAGCUAGGUAGCAGGCGGUGGUGUGCGGGUUAUGUGCGGGACGGCGGGACGCCACCGGCCGCGAUCCGUGGAAGACAACAGGUGGCCUCUGGAGGCAGUGGGGGAGUCACUUCGAGCUCCUCAGCAUGUCCAGGUUAGGGUGGCAAAGGAUGGUGGCAGCGGAUUUGGCGGCACGAGCUGCCGGAGAUGGUGGAGGAUGGCGGCGCAGGGGCGAGUAGAGGACGGGGUGCGAUGGUGAUUGAGGGUUGCGACUAGUGGUGGCAAGAGCCGUCGGAGCUACAGGAGGAAAUGCUCACGGGAGCAUAGGUUGCGCGCGCUCCUGGACCGCCAUCACCGAAGGCGACAUUAGUGAUUUUGUCGCCUUCAGUGAUAUAUAGACGCGACCCCCGAGAAUGGAAAAGGGUAUUUGGAGGGCUCCGGGAACCUAGCAGAGAACUUGCCGGAGUGCUUUUUUUUUUACUUGGUCCUAUGGAGUUGUUCUAAGCCAACAACUAUUACUCUAUUAGCAAUUUUAAGAUAACACUGAAAUAUGGUAGUCUCCUACUUUAUGUGCAGUGUCGUUGCGUCCAUAAGUGUGAGGUCUACUUUAUAGCGGACCUGAGCCUCAACCGCUCCGGCCCACGGGCACAAAAAAACUCUAAUUGCCGUGUUUGACGGAGCACUGUGGGAGUUCUGCUGGGCUGUCCCGUUUCUGGUGACCGUUAGAUUAGCGAACUGAUUCCGAACCCGUUGAUUAGCGAUGCGGUCAAGAGCAAAAAUCGAUUCCUCUAACUGCCAACAAACCAUAUUAUUCACUGGUAGUUUGAAUCCAAACUCCAAAGUCUUCCAGAGCACCAGCCAAGGUCGGCACGUACUACUAAUCAAAGGCAAUUCGAGAGCUUCGCAGCAAGCACCUCCUGCACGGUCUGCUGCCAAAGUGUGCACACCAAAUAAAAGUCUUCUUUUAGACCAGUAGUACCAAAUAAACGUCCAAAACCCACGCAGCAAACCGAACGGGGCUCGUGCCAGUCUAACAAAAACUGGGGACUCCCGCUCCCUCCGCAUUUGAUUGCAGAAGCAGAUCGUCCUCCUCUUGCUGCGUCCACCUCGCGCCGUGGCGGCCGUGCUGUGCAGGCGUGCACAACCAACGCCACGCCGCGCGUCCGUGUACCCACGUAUCCUCGGUCUCGUGCUCGUGCUGCUCCGCGCGGCUGCGCAGCCCCCGCCGGCGGGCGAGGCGCGGCUGCUGCUCGAGAUCAAGCGCGCGUGGGGCGACCCGCCCGUGCUCGCGGGGUGGAACGCCACGGCCGCGGCCGCGCCCUGCAGCUGGCCGCACGUCGGGUGCGACGCGUCCGGGCGCGUCGUGAACCUCACUCAUAUUUGGCAAUCAAAAUGCGAAAUACUUCUGGAUCAAAGACACCCUUUUCAUCAUUUAGAGACUUUGGCUUCGAUGUUGCUAUGAAUCUAUCCCUAUCCUCUUACGGAAUGGCAUGACAGUGAAUCGCAAUAUACCUGCUGAGGUGAGUUGUACCUUUUCCAGGUUCAUAGGAUAAAUGAAACUUACAGUAUCUGCAUAUUGCCUUCUCCUUGCCAUCAAUCACUUCGGUAUCAACAAAUUUCCAAACUUUAGCCCUCUUCCUAGAUGAUCGACUUGACUGGUCAGUUACCAAACUAUCACGGCUGUCUACCUCAAGCACAACUUCUUGUCCUAGAUCCAUAUCACCUAGAUGACACAAAUGCAGUUUCAAUAUAAGAUAACAAAAGGAAUCACAAUUGUUACAUAAUAAAAAUUAGAACUACUGAACAUAACAUUCAGAUUGCCAUCACUUUUUUACUAGGCAUAUUGCGACAUGGAGAAUAUAUCACCAGAAUAGAGAAUCACUAGUUUACUACUCCCUCCGUUCCAAAUUGUAGGUCGUUUUGGCUUUUCUAGAUUCAUAGAUACUAUUAUGCAUCUAGAUAUAGUGUAUGUCUAGAUGCAUAAUAAUAUCUAUAAAUCUAAAAGAGCUAAAACGACCUAUAAUUUGGAACGGAGGGAGUACAUCGCUACAAGCCCUAAACAUCCCAUACAUGCCACUCAAUCACACACGUAUUCCUGCAGGCAAGAAAAAUAGAACUGCUUUCAUGAUUCCAUGGAUCUCUGGGCAACGAUGAAAGAGACAAUAGUUUAGCAUCUUGGGUACACUAGUAUACUACACACACAUAUAUAUAUGCUGCAAAUAUUCAGAGUUCAUAGUUCAGACUACUUGGUUCUUAUAGGAUGUGGCUACUCUAAUGCAACAGAUAGUACCUGAACAAUUUGACGAGCCAAAACUUACAGUCAGAAACAAACCAAACUACCCAAUGAACCGGAGCAAUAGCCUUAGAAUGAAGUAUGGCUUUAAUGCACACUGUGGUAGAAAAUAAUGCAAGUCUAGGAUUGUCGAGAUUAAAGUAUCGUUACCUUGUUGAGAAUGUUGCUGGGGAAUUGCCUAACAGAGAGCACGUCGGCAAUGAUGGUGUGGACGAGGAUGGCACAGAUGACGCUCAAUCAACCGCUUUGUGGCUGCACUACAAUGCUUUGUGGCUGCACUACAAAGUAGAAGCAUCAAAAUGCUGUCAUAACAUGCUCUGUCACCAAAGCAUUCGAUAAUCUCAAGUGCUUUAAAAAUCUCAGAUGAAAUCUCGGAGGAACAUGUGCUACUGGCUCCAAGAACAGAAGAUGCAACACAUGACGAAAGCGACCAUAUAAUUUGUAUGCGUAUUACAACACCACAUCAACUCGUUCUUUUACCAAACACAAGAAUCAGACACAACAUGGAGAGUCAAGAAAGAUGCACUCACCAUAUUUCGGCAAACUGAAGACAAUUGUUGUUACGGGGAUUUCUUGGAGAUGAGCACCGCGCUGCCCCUUCGCAGCUCUAGAGGGGAUCUCCACCCCUUGUGGCGGAUCCACUUCGGAUUAACUUGAUUAAAAAAAGUUAAGUCGCCUAACAUGCGACACCCAUGCCUAAGCCAAGUUAACACGAAGUGCCGUCGGAUUUCAUCCGAUGAACCACGUGAACAGGAUCGAGUUAGCAAACUCACACGAAGAUGAGUGGUUCCAGAGAAUACAACAAGUCCACCGAGUGGAACAACUUAACCAUUUAGUUCGACCAGAAAAACAAUUCAUCAGAGUUUUACAAGGUUUCAAAAGAAAACAAUCGAAGGUAAACAGCAAGCGGAAGCUAAACGCAGGGGUCAGACGUCCUUGGUGAGGCCAGCCAAGACGUCAGUGAUCCCUUUCCUCGCCAUCCGAGGAGGGAUCCCACUCGACCGUCCAACCCGGAGGGAGCUGGGGCGGCCAAGUGCCAGCGGAAGAAGGCUCGGGAGCAGCGACUUCACCUGAAAAACAGGAGCCACAACAAGGCUGAGCUACUAAGCUCAAUAAGACUUAACCGACAGGGAGUAACUACUCCACCACUUCUAGACAUGCAAGGCUCUUUGGCUGAGGGGGGUUUGUUUGCCAAGAAGCACUAGGUAAAACCCUAUUUUUAAGUUUUAGCUCCGGUUCUAAGUUCAUUAUCCAGUCUAAGUUUUGCAACCUAUUCUAGGCAACCAUAGAACCAACCAAAGGUAUAUAUAUAUAUAACAUCAUAAAGACCAUGUCGUCAUUAUAUUUCUUUCUUACUCAGGGUAGCAUAGCGAUCAAGCAGUCUCAAACUGUGAGAGGCAGAUGAAUUGAUUCGAGUUCUUUAACCAUGCAUGGUGAACCUAACCUCACGACAUCCGCGCACCCGAAGGUCACUUCCUGUGUCGGCCUUCCCCAUCAAUCCCCUAACCCGUGUCGGGCCCAUUUCCUUUGGUGUAAGGUUCCACAGACCCGGCCUCUGCCGUUCUGUGACCACGCUUGCCACCACGUGCGACAACUAGCAGGGGAAACUCCGUUCCAAGAACAAUGGGGCGACCGCUCACGUCUAGGUUCAAUCCGGUACUAGGCUUCCUCAUCCCAUACUAAGUAUGAGGUUAGUACUUUCAAACACUUGAUCACGAACACCACCACUGUCAGGCCUUAGCAAGUUUCAUAGAUAGACGGGGCGAUCAACCGACCACCAAAGAGUUACCCAAAACCCUGCCCCGUCCAUCGUCCUUAUAGUUGUGACAGGAGGAAGACAACCCCUACCACUCGCGAGCAAUAGGAAAUCACUCGACUUUUACCGCAUCCUAUUUAAGCAAAGCAGCUACUCGAUCCAACAGCUAGUGUUUAGAUCAAGGGAUCUAAGUUAUACAUCUAUGGUUCCAAACAACUCCUAUACGUAAAUGCACAAACAAGAUGCAGAAGGAAUGCGCAAGUCUGGAAAACAUAGGGAUUUCAUGCAUCCGGGGCUUGCCUUCAAGCGAGAAAAAUGGAAGCUGCUCUUCUGCUCGAGCGGCUUCGGCUUCUGAGGGCAGGAGCUCGGCUACACCAUCAUCUUCUGCCGCCGGGUACAGCUCGUAGUAGCCGUCGGCCAGACACAGCUCUACACGAAUGCAAUGCAAGAGUUAGCAUUUUAGACGGUUAUUUCAACAGCAACACUUGCAAGUAUGAGCCCAGAAACUUGCGACAAGUAACAGGAGGGUGGGAAGGUUAAAGGAGUUGGUGGAGAUCAAGAGGUAAGGGUCGGAGGAAAGGAACUUAUGAUCGGAUCCUUAGACUAGAGGAAUAGCUAUGCUAGGGGUCCUCAGACUCAACGCUGAAAGGUCCCCAAGUUUUUACACAUACACCCUCGGUUCGAAGAAAAAGGAUACAGCCGAGUCCUCGGGCGAGGCGGACAAGGGUCGGCGGAACAGACAGGGUCGGACGAGACGGAACCGGGGUCGGACGGAUACGAGGGGUCGAGCGAAGCGGACAAGGGUCGGCAGAACAGACAAGGUCGGGCGAGACGGAAAAAGGGGUCGGGCGGACGGAAGGGUCGGACGAGGCGGCCAAGGGGUCAGCAGCUUACCUUCGUCUUACAAGGAAAGCUUGGGGUCGGAAAGAGCAGGUUCGGGCGGAGGAACUGGAAUACUAAGGCUUGCGGCGGAGAUGCCCGGCGGUGCUCCGGCGGCGGCGGUGCUUCUUGUGGAUCACAAGUAAGCUCUUACGCAGCACGGAGGAGCAAGCGGCUGGGUGGAUUGGGGAAAACGGUGUCGAGCGGAGAGGAGAGUUCCUCAGGGACUUAGUGUGGUGGCGCUAGGAGCUCGAACAGGGAGCAAGAGAAAUGGCGGGAGGGUAGUGAUGGCGAAGGGGACUCCGGCGGGGCUCACGCAUUCCCUUUUAUAGCGGCGCGGGAGUGAGAAGGGGAGUGGCACGAAGGCCGGGGAAGAAGCAAUGGAGUGCUCUGCCCGGGCGGCGAUUGAGCGACGAGGGCGGUGGAGCAGGACUUCGGGGAUUACGCCGGCGGUCAUUGGGCUCUGGCGUCAGGGCGGCGCAGGCGCGGGUUUGCCGGUGGUUGAGAUUUGGCGGAGGCGGGUGUCGUCGUGAGGUGGAGCUGAUGGAAGUGACCGGGAUAGCGGCGCUAGGAACGAGGGCGCACAGGUGAGAAGAUAGGCGGCUGCGGGCGUGCGGGCGAGUGCGGAGCAACAGAUUGUCGGGCGGUUUCUGACAGGGUGGGAAAAAGGAGCUGUCGCUGCCGUGGUCGGGGUUGGCGGAGGAGGAAUCGUCGGGUAGCGAAGACCAGGCGGCGCGACUGUGGCGAGGUGACGGAAAAGACGGGCGACAUCGGGCUCUGCGGCCGGGAUCUGGCGAUGUGAUGAUGGGCGCGGGUGGCGAGGUGCUGCAGAAAGGUUGCAGAGGGGUUUCCGCUGCGAUUGGGGAAGGGGGCGCGAGAAUCCAUUCGGUCGCGGGCCGAAGACGAGGCAGAGCGGCGGGCGUCGGAGGAGUUGAGCCACGCGGCGAGGGAACUCUGAAGUGAGCAUGCAACUCGAGUGCGCCUGUCGCGGAAGAUCUGGGGGAAAAGAUCUCGUGGGUCCACCGGUCAGAUCGAAGGGAGGUGUUGGGGAAAACUUAGAAGAAUCCGGCGGGUGAGUUGGGGUCGGCGGGGUCGGAACUGGAGGCCAGCGUAGAGGGGUCGGGUCUCAGGGGUCGGGACCGGUCGGGAGGUUGAACACUUAGGCUUGGAAAACUAAGGCAGGUGGUCAGGGGCUCAGAUUAAGAUUAACUCAAGAGAUUUCAGGGUCAGUCGUCACAGCCUACCCCUCUUAAAAAGAAUCUCGUCCCGAGAUUCAGGUGUAAGAGUAGGGUGUACCGUUCUUACCUCCUUGACGAGAUAGAAAACCUGGGAAGUGCUUGUUCAGAUACUCGUCUGUUUCCCAUGUUGCUUCAUCCUCCAUGUGUUUCCUCCAGAGGAUCUUGUACAUUCUGACCAUUUGGCGCCGGGUAUGCCUCUCUUUCUGGUCAAGAACUCUGUCUGGGUACUCGGCGUAGGUUAGGUCGGGCUCUAUCUGAAGCUGCUCUUGCUCUAAGAUCUCGGUUGGGACUUGGACACAUUUCUUCAGUUGAGACACAUGGAAGACAUCGUGUAUGGCCGAUAGCUGUUCUGAGAGUUGGAUCCGGUAAGCAACGGGUCCACAGAUCUCCACAAUCUCAUAAGGGCCAAUGUAGCGGGGAUCCAACUUGCCUUUCACUCCAAACUGUUGCACUCCCUUGGUUGGGGAGACUUGAAGAUACACAUGAUCACCAAUGUCAAACUGUAGGGGCCUUCUUCGCCUGUCGGAAUAACUCUUUUGUCGAGAUUGGGGAGCCUUGAGAUUUGCUUGAAUUACCCUUACUUGCUCUUCGGCUUCUACCACUAAGUUAGGGCCAUAGAUCUGUCUUUCUCCAGUUUGUGACCAAUUCAAAGGUGUCCGACAUCUCCGGCCAUAUAAGGCUUCAAACGGUGCCAUCUUCAAACUGGCCUGGUAGCUAUUGUUGUAGGAGAAUUCUACCAAUGGCAGGCACUUGUCCCAGUUCUUGUCAUAGUGGAUGACACAAGCUCUUAACAUGUCUUCAAGGAUUUGAUUGACUCUUUCGGUUUGACCAUCGGUUUGAGGAUGAUAGGUUGAGCUACGGAUGAGUUUGGUGCCCAUGGAUGCUUGUAGCUGCUCCCAAAAGCGUGCCACAAACUGAAUUCCUCGAUCAGAGAUGAUGGUCUUAGGUACACCGUGUAGGGAAACUAUGCGGUCGAGGUACAACUUUGCAUACUGCUUGACUGUGUGGGUGGUGCGGACAGGAAGGAAGUGGGCAGACUUGGUCAGGCGGUCCACUAUAACCCAGAUGAAGUCAUAUCGCUAUGAUGUAAGGGGCAGUCCAACUAUGAAGUCCAUGCUGAUGUCUUCCCAUUUCCAAGAGGGAAUAGGCAGGGGCUACAGGGUACCUGCUGCUUUUAGAUGGCUGGCUUUGACAUGUUGACAGGUGUCACAUUCUGAAACAUACCGGGCAAUUUCAGGCUUCAUUCCACUCCACCAGAAGGUUUGACGGAGAUCAUGGUACAUCUUAUUGCUGCCAGGAUGGAUUGAGAACUUGGAGAGAUGAGCUUCAUCUAGGAUCUGCUUCUUAAGGUUGGGGUCGGAUGGUACAACCAGUCAGUUUCCAUAAUAUACGUUUCCAGUUUCGUCCUAUCGAAACUGCUUAUAUCCUUCAUCUUUCAAGGAGAUCUUCUUGGUGAUCCGCUUUACUUCUUCAUCCUCCACUUGGGCUGACCUUAUUUGGUCUUCUAAAGCAGACUCAAGAGCUAUGUGGCUGAGGGUUCCAUGGGGAACAAUUUCCAGACCAAGUUUUCCCAUCUCGUGACACAAAGUCUCGGUGAAGGUUGUUGCCGACAAGCAGUUGCAAAAGGUCUUGAGACUAAGAGCAUCGGCCACCACAUUGGCCUUGCCGGGAUGAUAGUGAACUUCCAAAUCAUAGUCUUUUAUUAGCUCUAACCAUCUCCUUUGGUGCAUGUUGAGGUCAGCUUGAGUGAAGAUGUACUUGAGACUCUUGUGGCCGGUGUAGAUGUUGCAGUGGGCGCCCAUCAGAUAGUGUCUCCAUAUCUUUAAGGCAUGAAUCACUGCUGCCAACUCAAGAUCAUGGGUCGGGUAGUUCAGCUCAUGAGGUCGCAACGCCCGUGAGGCAUAGGCAAUGACUUGGUUGUCUUGCAUAAGAACACAUCCAAGUCCAGUGCCAGAGGCGUCACAGUACACGUCAAACGGCCUAGAGGGGUCGGGUUGGGCCAAAACUGGGGCUGUGGUCAGCAGGCGCUUUAAGGUUUUGAAGGCUUCUUCACAUGUGUCGUCCCACAUGAAUCUGACCUCUUUCUUCAACAACUCUGUCAUCGGCUUAGCUAUCUUGGAGAAAUCCGGUAUGAAACACCGGUAGUAGCCUGCCAGUCCAAGGAAACUUCGUAUCUGGUGCACUGAGGCGGGAGGCUUCCAGUCCAUAACUUCCUGUACCUUGCUGGGGUUGACGGCUAUGCCAUCCUUGGAGAUAGUGUGUCCCAAAAACUUGACACUAUCUAACCAGAACUCACACUUGGAGAACUUGGCAUAGAGUUGAUGAUCUCUUAGCCGUUGGAGAACUACGCGAAGAUGGUUGGCAUGUUCUUCUUCACUCUUCGAGUACACGAGGAUAUCAUCAAUGAACACCACUACAAACUUGUCCAACUCAGGCAUGAACACUGAGUUCAUGAGGUACAUGAAAUAGGCGGGUGCAUUGGUGAGUCCAAAGGACAUGACCAGGUACUCGUAGGGUCCAUAUCUUGUGGAGAAUGCUGUUUUGGGUAUGUCGCAGGGUCGGAUCUUGAUUUGGUGAUAACCCGAACGAAGAUCGAUCUUGGAGAACACUUUUGCUCUAGCUAACUAAUCAAACAAGACAUCGAUGCGUGGCAGUGGGUACUUGUUCUUGACGGUCACCGCAUUGAGGGGUCGGUAGUCCACACACAUGCGGAGACUCCCAUCCUUCUUCUUCACAAACAAGGCGGGGCAACCCCAAGGUGAUGUGCUGGGUCGGAUGAAGCCUUUUUCCAACAGAUCAUGCAACUGGGUCUUCAACUCGGCCAACUCAGUAGGCGGCAUCCGAUAGGGUCUCUUGGACAUCGGAGCUGUGCCGGGGAUCAACUCUAUGGAAAACUCCACAUCUCUAUUGGGCGGCAUGCCGGGCAAGUCCUCUGGGAACACAUCCGGGUAUUCACAGACAACAGGGAGGCUUUCUAGCCGGGCUUCCGACAGAGGGUACGCACAAGGAAGUGCGGAUUUAGGAGGGUUCAAGAACAGGGUACAACUGCCAUGAAAGGGUGAGUUGAUGUAAAGAGUUCGGGCAGCUGUAUCUAGAACCACUUGGUGUCUGGUCAUCCAAUCCAUCCCGAGGAUGAUAUCUAUUCCUUCCAGGUCAAGGAUGAUAAGAUUUUCAUAAAAAAAGGGUUUGGCCUAGCUGGAGAGGUACAAGAGUAACGAUCUGAUCCGAGGCUAUCUUUCCUCCCGGAGUGGCGAUCACAUAGGAUUCUUUAGUGUGACCGACAUCCAGCUCACAUCUUUCUCUAGUCUUACUCCCGAUGAAGCUAUGAGAGGCUCCCGAAUCCAACAACACAACAACAGCUUGAUUUAAGACAAGGAAAGUACCCGUCAUCACUGGCGCACCUUCGGGGAGUUCGGUCAAGCUGGUGUAGUUGAGCCGUCCUUGUCGAACUUGCACCUUGGGCCUUCUUCCUCUGUUCGCUGCUGAUUUCUGUUCCUGGGGCAGUCCUUAGCAAAAUGCCCUUCAUUGCCGCAGGUGAAGCAGCGGUUACCAGUUGCAGGGUGGGGUGGUGCUGGUGGGGUCGGCUGGGGUGCCUGUGGUUGGAAGCCGGGAAAACGGGGCGCUGCUGCUGGUGGGGGUCAGGCAAUCCACCUUUCCGACUGUUGGGGUCGGCCGGGCGCUUGUGGAGGAACCAUCCGGAACCUUCGAGUUGGCUGGCUCAGAAAUGCCACGGAGGCCUUCCUCUUCUGGUCGGCUUUGAGAGCCUGCAUGCAAUCCUCUUGCGAGAUGGCCAGGUUGACCAACUCGUUGUAGGUAUCCACCUUGAUGGGGUUCAAUCUCUCUCUGAGCUCCAAACUCAGUCCUCAGCGGAAUCUAUCCCGCUUCUUCUCGUCUGUGUCCGCACGAUAGCCGGCAUAACAGCACAGAUCAUUGAAAGCCUGGGCGUAGUGCAGGACUGUGGCGGAACCACCUCGGAUUAGCUUGAUUAAGCAGGGUUAAGCCGCCUAACAUGCGACACUCCUGCCUAAACCGAGUUAAUACGAAGUGCCGUCGGAUUUCAUCCGAUUUAACCACUUAAACAGGAUCGAGUUUAGCAACCCACACAAAGGUGAGUGGUUACAGAGAAUACAACAAGUCCCCUGAGUUGAACAAGUUUUACCCAUUUAGUUCGGCCAUAAAAACCAACAUCGGAGUUUUACAAGUUUUCAAGAAACAACAGAGAAAACACUAGCGGAAGACUUCAUCGGGGUCGGACAUCCCUGGUGAGGCCAACCGGGACAUCACUGGCUCCUCUCCUCGUCGUUCGAGGAAGGAUCCCACUCGACCGUCCAGCCUGGCGGGAGCUGGGGCGGCCAAGCACCAACCAGAGAGGGGUCGGAAGCAGCAACUUCACCUGAAAAACAGGAGCCACAACAGGACUGAGCUACUAAGCUCAACAAGACUUAACCGAUAGGAGUUAGCUACUCCUCCAUCUAGACAUGCAAGGCUUUUUGGCAGAGGGGUUUGUUUGCCAAAAGUACUAAGUAACCCUAGUUUCAAGUUUUAGCUCCGGUUCUAGGUUCAUUUACCAGUCUAGGUUGUGCCACCUAUUCUAAGCAUUCAUAGAACCAAACAAGAUGAGUAGAUAUAACAACAAACAUUGCCAUCAUCAGAUUCCUCAUUUACUCAGGGUGACAUAGCGAUCAAGCAAUCUCAAACUGUGAGAGGCAGACGAAUCGAUUCGAGUUCUUUAACCAUGCAUGGUGAACCUAGCCUCACGACAUCCGCGCACCCGGGGGUCGCUUCCUGUGUCGGCCUUCCCCAUCAAUCCCCUAACCCGUGUCGGGCCCAUUUCCUUGGUGCAAGGUUCCACAGACCCGGCCUCUGCCGUUCUGUGACCACGCUUGCGACCACAUGCGACAACCAGCAGGGGAAACUCCGUUCCAAGAACAAUGGGGCGACCGCUCACGUCUAGGUUCAAUCCGGUACUAGGCUUCCUCAUCCCAUACUAAGUAUGAGGCUAGUACUUUCAAACACUUGAUCACGAACACCACCACUGUCGGGCCUUAGCAAGAUUUCAUAGACAGAUGGGGCGACUAUCCGACCACCAAAAAGUUACCAAACCCUGCCCCGUCCAUCGUCCUUAUAGUUAUAACAGGAGAGUAAACAUGCAACUCCUACAACUCGCGAGUGACAGGAAAUCACUCGACUUUUACCGUCUCCUAGUUAAGCAAAGCAGCUACUCGGUCCAACAGCUAGUGCUCAGAUCAUGGGUUAACUGAGUCAUGCAUCUAGGGUUUCACACAACUCCUAUAGGUAAAUGCACAAGCAUGUUACAGAAGGCAUGUGCAAGUUUGGUGAACACUCAAGGUUUUCAUGCAACCGGGGCUUGCCUUCAAGCAAGGAGGACGGGAACUGCUCGACUUCGGGGGUGACUUCGGCUUCGGAGGACAGGAGCUCGGCUACAGCUUCUUCUUCUGGCGCCGGGUGAAGCUCGUAGAAACCGUCGGCGAGGUGCAGCUCUACACGAAUGCAAUGCAAGGGUUAGCAUAGACGGUUAAAUCAACAGCAACACUGGCUCGCCUGAGCCCAGAAACUUGCGACAAAGAGCAGGAGGUUAUGGUGGUUCGAGAGAGCUGAUGAUGAUCAAGAGGUAAGGGUAGGAAAGGAACUAGUGGUCUGAUCCUUGAACUAGAGGAUGUGAUAAACUGGGGGUCCUUAGACGCAAGCGCUGAAGGGUUCCCAAGUUUUACACAUACACCCUCGAGUUGAAGAAAAAGAUCACAGCCAAGCCCUCGGGCGAGGCGGAUAAGGGUCGGUGGAACAGAUAGGAUCGGGCGAGACAGAACUGGGGUCGGGCGGAUAUGGGGGGUCGGGCGAGGCGGACUGGGGUCGGCAACUCACCUUCUUCCUGAAAGGAAAGCGUGGGGUCGGGAAGAAGCGGACUUGGGCGGAUGGACUAAGGUUUGAACAGAAGCUAAGACCGGCAAUGCUCCGACGGUGGCGCUGCUUCUUGAGGAUCACAAGAGAGCUUUUACGCAGCACGGAGGAGCAAGCUGCUGGGUGACUUGGAGAAAACUGAGAGAGAACUGAGAGAAGAACUCCUCAAGAACUAGGUGGGUGGUGCUAGGAGCUUGAGCAGGGAGCUAGAGAAGGCUGAAGGCAACAAGGGCGGAGGGAAACUCCGGCGACGGGGGCAUUCCUUUUAUAGCUGCUGGAGCAGAGGAAAGGAAACGGCGCGGAGAGAGAGAAGGGGAGCGGCGCGAAGACCGGGGAGAGGCAAUGGAGUGCUCUGCCGGGGCGGCGAUUGAGCGAAGAGGGCGGUGGUGCAGAGCUUCGGGGGUGACGCCAGCGAUCAUUGCGUUCUGCCGUCAGGGCGGCGUAGGAGCGGGUAGACUAGUGGUUGAGAUUUGGCGGAAAGCGGGCGUCGCCGUGCGGAAGAGGUGAUAGAAGCGACCGGUUUAACGGCGCUAGAAUCGAGGGCGCACAGGUGAGAAGAUAGGCGGACGCGGGCGCGGGGGAGAGCGCGGAACAACAGAUUGUCGGGCGGCUUCUGACAGAGCGGGGGAAAGGAACUGUCGCGGCCGCGGUCGGGGUUGGCGGUGGAGGAAUUGUCGUGUAGCGGCGACCGGGCAGCGCGACUGUGGCUGAAGGGACGGAAAAGACUGGCGACAUCGGGCUCUGGGGCCGGGAUCUGGUGGCGUGAUGAUGGGCGCGGGAGGCGAGGCGCUGCAGAAAGGGGUGCAGAGGGCUUCCGCUACCAUUGGGGAAAGGGGGCGCGGGAACCCACUCGGUUGCUUGCCAGAGACAAAACUGAGCGGCAGGCGUCAGAGAAGACGAGCCACGCGGCAGGAAGACUCUGAGGCGGCCAUGCAACUCGAGUGCGGCUAUCGCGGGGGAUCUAGAAAAGAUCUCACGGGUCCACCAGUGGAUAGAUCAGACGGGUGAGGAAGAUUAGCAGAAUCCGACGGUGGGCUGAGCUCGCCGGGGUCGGGAGAGGAGCGAAGCGGGAAGGGGUCGGAUCCAGGGGUCGGGACCAGGCGGCUAGCUGAGCACUUAGGCGCAAUCAAGCAAGACAGAUGACUAGGAUCAAGGGCUCUGAACAAGACUAACUCGGGAAGGGUUAGGGGUCGGUCGUUACAAGGACAUCUUGGGUUCCCUAGGUAAGAGCCAGGAACUCGUUGAGCUUGCGCUCCAAGCGACCUUCCGGAAUAUGAUGCCCUUUGAACGCGGUCUUAAACUCGUUCCAGCUGACUACAUGGCCGGCCGGCAACAUAGCAUGGUAGUGGUCCCACCAGAGCCGGGCGGAACCACGCAGCUGCUGAGCUGCAAAUCGGGCCUUGUUAUGGUCGGGGCACGGGGCGGUGAGGAGCUCGAACUUGGAUUCAAUCGUACGAACCCAAGCGUCGGCGUCGAGCGGUUCUUGUGUCUUCUGAAACAAAGGGGGCUGCGUCCCCAAGAAGCCUUCAUAUCGAGCAACAUGAGGUUGCUGCUGAGCUCUUCCGCCAUGGGGCUGCUGCUGUUGUCCUUGUACAAGAUGCCUCAGCAGCUCGGUUUGAGCCGCUAGGAUUGCCUCUAGUGGAGACGAGGGCGGGGGUGAGGGAAGAUCUUGUCUUUGCUCACUGCUGCCGGGCACAGAACCAGAUCUGGUGCGAUGCGCCAUCUGCAAGAGUUAACAUUCCAUUAAAUUCAUAAUCUUAGAAGUACUCCAACAGAUGGAACGCAUAAGUUAAAAAUUCUCCGAUGUAACUCUUGCUGAUAAUGCAACACACGUCCUCAUAAGGGAGAUACACUCUUCUCAUUGCCAUGUUAGUUAGAUCUAUCUUAGUUGUGUACUCGACUUCGGGCGAACCAUACCCUACCCAGACUCCUGGAAUUCCCUUACAUCUGAACUUAAGCCAAGGGGUCGGGCUAGGCGAUCAUCCCGAGAAAAGGGUCAGCAAGCGAUCCACACAAAAAGGGGUCGGGCGAGGCGGAGACUGCCUCGUGGGGUCGGACGCAUCCGAUCUUGCGAACCAAGGUCGGUCAAGCUUGAUCAAACCCACAGACAACAUCGUGUGUGGUCACUGCACAAAUUACUUAGUCUAACAUUCCAACACUUUGCCAAAGAGUUAAAGGUCAGACUCAGGAUUUGAUUUCAUUGGGAUCUUUUUACAGAGGUGUUCCAAACACAGGGAGUACUCGACUGAAGGCUGACCUAUCACAGAUCUUUCCAAAAUUUAGGCUGCCGAGGAGUACAACAAAAGAAUGAGUUCCUUGCAACUCUUCAUCUACAAAUGAACACUAUGAGUAGGAGAAGGGGCGCCGUCUUCUUCAAUGUCCAUACUGGACGCUCCCUCAACCUCCUCGGGGUCCUCUUAAGCUUCUAGUUGCAUAUGGAGGGCGUGCAUAUCGUCGAGCUCGGCUUGAUGCUCGUCCAGGUGAGCAUUGGCAACCGCCAGCUCCAUUUCCACUUCCAUUUUCUCCUCUGAUAGCUCGAUCAUGCCGUCCACCAGGUCGGAUACUUCUCCUUCGAGCUCAGAGAUUCUAUCUUGCAUGUCAUGGAUCUGAACGCCUUGUUGGAUAAGCUGAUAGGUUUGGCCUACCAGGUCUCUUCUGGCUGCCUGGAGGUGUCCUUGGGCAUCCACAGCGGUCUGAGCAAGAAUGGUCAUGGCUCUUCCUUGGAGCUCAAUCAUCCAAUAGAGGGCCGACAUACACCGGAUGUUGGUGGAGAUGGUGACCAUAGAGUAGGUGGUGGCCAGCACCUCGAUAUUGCCAACGCGGUCGAGCCACGCCGGAUCCAACCGGUUCCUGGCAGGGAACAGGCCGAUGGGGUCUAGGGUGACCUCCAGUGGGUGCAGCUGACAGAAACGAGUAAGGAGCUGAAGGGUGGCGGACUCCCAGGUGUCUUCUGGGGCAAGACCAUAUGCUGAUAUCCCGAACGAGGGCCAGUCAGGCCGCACAGGAGGAGGAGGUACUACUGCCUGUACGUUGCACGUCUGGACGCCUUGCUCCAGGUACAGUCGUCCUGCAUACAACGGUGGGGACUGGUACCCGAACCAUUUCAAGGUAUCCCACAAAAUCGCGGGGAAGCCCUCGAAGUGUAGACACGUUGAAUGGAAGGUGCCAUCCGCUCCAUAUAGGACAUGUCCGGGGGCGGCCAUCUGGAAUCAAGAAACCAAAACCACGUGAGAUGGACUCCAAAGGUCAGGGGUCGGACAAAGAAAGCAUUCGGUUUUUUAACUGAAAACAAGUUGGAGGAACUAGAAAUCCUUAGAACCGAAGAAGAGCUCUCCGAGCAAGGUUGCUUUUGAGGAGGGUGACUUUACAGAUUUUAGCUUAUGUCGCAUGCACGGCCUACAUCGUUCUCAACCAAAACAACUGGCAAAACUUGGUCUUACGCGGUUAGUGCCGGUGACAAGGCAACCAAUACGUCUCUCCCUAUAAUAGCUAGUCGGUUCUAGCAACGUCUCCUAAGCGAACGCGGUUAGUGUACCUGCAGAAAACACCACCACAGACGAACCUUUCGUGCCAGCACCCACGAAAGUGUUCCCAAACAUUACCGCUCACUAUAGGAACGGCACCCAUGCGUUCAAGGCUGCAUGGACAGCACUCAACCAUGGAAAUAGGUUGCCUUUGAAUGGAACCGUAUAACCCUUUGCAUACUCGCGAUGCGGAAUCAGCGCACGUAUAAUAGACGUGGCGAACAACCGUGCUGAUAGGCUCGUUGGAAUCGAACCGUACCAACCUUCGUAUGGAUUACAUACGGAACCUGCGCACGUAUGAUAGACGUGGGCGAAACAACCGCGAUGAUAGGGUCCUUUGAAUAGAACUCUCUAUCAACCCUCACAUACUCGUGAUGCGGAACUCGUCACACGUAUGAUAAACGUGGAGAAGUGCUGGAAGGGUUAGCAAGAUAACCAUGUAAAAUAUUAGCCACCUAAAACAACCCCAAAAUCCCCUAGGGCCUCUCGCACUGAAGUUAUCCUUAACGAUCGUACGAGAUAGUUUUCAAAAAGUUUCUUGCAACUUUUAUCUUUUCAAAGAAGUGUGCUAGGGCUUGUUGUGUUCUCUGUAUUGCUAACCAGCUCUGGUACCAGCUGUGGCGGAUCCACUUCGGAUUAACUUGAUUAAAUAGAGUUAAGUCGCCUAACAUGCGACACCCAUGCCUAAGCCAAGUUAACACGAAGUGCCGUCGGAUUUUAUCCGAUGAACCACGUGAACAGGAUCGAGUUAGCAAACUCACACGAAGAUGAGUGGUUCCAGAGAAUACAACAAGUCCACCGAGUGGAACAACUUAACCAUUUAGUUCGACCAGAAAAACAAUUCAUCAGAGUUUUACAAGGUUUCAAAAGAAAACAACCGAAGGUAAACAGCAAGCGGAAGCUAAACGCAGGGGUCGGACGUCCUUGGUGAGGCCAGCCAAGACGUCAGUGAUACCUUUCCUCGCCGUCCGAGAAGGGAUCCCACUCGACCGUCCAACCCGGAGGGAGCUGGGGCGGCCAAGUGCCAGCGGAAGAAGGCUCGGGAGCAGCGACUUCACCUGAAAAACAGGAGCCACAACAAGGCUGAGCUACUAAGCUCAACAAGACUUAACCGACAGGGAGUAACUACUCCACCACUUCUAGACAUGCAAGGCUCUUUGGCUGAGGGGGGUUUGUUUGCCAAGAAGCACUAAGUAAAACCCUAUUUUCAAGUUUUAGCUCCGGUUCUAAGUUCAUUAUCCGGUCUAAGUUUUGCAACCUAUUCUAGGCAACCAUAGAACCAACCAAAGGUAUAUAUAUAACAUCAUCAAGAUCAUGUCGUCAUUAUAUUUCUUUCUUACUCAGGGUAGCAUAGCGAUCAAGCAGUCUCAAACUGUGAGAGGCAGACGAAUCGAUUCGAGUUCUUUAACCAUGCAUGGUGAACCUAACCUCACGACAUUCGCGCACCCGAAGGUCGCUUCCUGUGUUGGCCUUCCCCAUCAAUCCCCUAACCCGUGUCGGGCCCAUUUCCUUUGGUGCAAGGUUCCACAGACCCGGCCUCUGUCGUUCUGUGACCACGCUUGCCACCACGUGCGACAACUAGCAGGGGAAACUCCGUUCCAAGAACAAUGGGGCGACCGCUCACGUCUAGGUUCAAUCCGGUACUAGGCUUCCUCAUCCCAUACUAAGUAUGAGGUUAGUACUUUCAAACACUUGAUCACGAACACCACCACUGUCAGGCCUUAGCAAGUUUCAUAGAUAGACGGGGCGAUCAACCGACCACCAAAGAGUUACCCAAAACCCUGCCCCGUCCAUCGUUCUUAUAGUUGUGACAGGAGGAAGACAACCCCUACCACUCGCGAGCAAUAGGAAAUCACUCGACUUUUACCGCAUCCUAUUUAAGCAAAGCAGCUACUCGAUCCAACAGCUAGUGUUCAGAUCAAGGGAUCUAAGUUAUACAUCUAUGGUUCCAAACAACUCCUAUACGUAAAUGCACAAACAAGAUGCAGAAGGCAUGCGCAAUUUUGGAAAACAUAGGGAUUUCAUGCAUCCAUGGCUUGCCUUCAAGCGAGAAAGGAGGAAGCUGCUCUUCUGCUCGGGCGGCUUCAGCUUCUGAGGGCAGGAGCUCGGCUACACCGUCGUCUUCUGCCGCCGGGUGCAGCUCGUAGUAGCCGUCGGCGAGACGCAUCUCUACACGAAUGCAAUGCAAGAGUUAGCAUUUUAGACGGUUAUUUCAAUAGCAACACUUGCAAGUAUGAGCCCAGAAACUUGCGACAAGUAAUAGGAGGGUGGGGAGGUUAAAGGAGUUGGUGGAGAUCAAGAGGUAAGGGUCGGAGGAAAGGAACUUAUGAUCGGAUCCUUAGACUAGAGGAAUAGCUAUGCUAGGGGUCCUCAGACUCAACGCUGAAAGGUCCCCAAGUUUUUACACAUACACCCUCGGUUCGAAGAAAAAGGAUACAGCUGAGUCCUCGGGCGAGGCGGACAAGGGUCGGCGGAACAGACAGGGUCGGACGAGACGGAACCGGGGUCGGGCGGAUAAGAGGGGUCGGGCGAAGCGGACAAGGGUCGACAGAACAGACAGGGUCGGGCGAGACGGAAAAAGGGGUCGGGCGGACGGAAGGGUCGGACGAGGCGGACAAGGGAUCAGCAGCUUACCUUUGUCUUACAAGGAAAGCUUGGGGUCGGGAAGAGCAGGUUCGGGCGGAGGAACUGGAAUACUAAGGCUUGCGGCGGAGAUGCCCGGCGGUGCUCCGGCGGCGGCGGUGCUUCUUGUGGAUCACAAGUAAGCUCUUACGCAGCACGGAGGAGCAAGCGGCUGGGUGGAUUGGGGAAAACGGUGUGAAGCGGAGAGGAGAGUUCCUCAGGGACUUAGUGUGGUGGCGCUGGGAGCUCGAACAGGGAGCAAGAGAAAUGGCGGGAGGGUAGUGAUGGCGAAGGGGACUCCGGUGGGGCUCGCGCAUUCCCUUUUAUAGCGGCGCGGGAGUGAGAAGGGGAGUGGCGCGAAGGCCGGGGAAGAAGUAAUGGAGUGCUCUGCCCGGGCGGCGAUUGAGCGACGAGGGCGGUGGAGCAGGACUUCGGGGAUGACGCCGGCGGUCAUUGAGCUCUGGCGUCAGGGCGGCGCAGGCGCGGGUUUGCCGGUGGUUGAGAUUUGGCGGAGGCGGGUGUCGUCGUGCGGUGGAGCUGAUGGAAGUGACCGGGAUAACGGCGCUAGGAACGAGGGCGCACAGGUGAGAAGACAGGCGGCUGCGGGCGCGCGGGCGAGCGCGGAGCAACAGAUUGUCGGGCGGCUUCUGACAGGGUGGGAAAAAGGAGCUGUCGCUGCCGUGGUCGGGGUUGGCGGAGGAGGAAUCGUCGGGUAGCGAAGACCAGGCGGCGCGACUGUGGUGAGGUGACGGAAAAGACGGGCGACAUCGGGCUCUGCGGCCGGGAUCUGGCGAUGUGAUGAUGGGCGCGGGCGGCGAGGUGCUGCAGAAAGGUUGCAGAGGGGUUUCCGCUGCGAUUGGGGAAGGGGGCGCGAGAAUCCAAUCGGUCACGGGCCGAAGACGAGGCGGAGCGGCGGCGUCGGAGGAGUUGAGCCACGCGGCGGGGGAACUCUGAAGUGAGCAUGCAACUCGAGUGCGCCUGUCACGGAAGAUCUGGGGGAAAAGAUCUCGUGGGUCCACCGGUCAGAUCGAAGGGAGGUGUUGGGGAAGACUUAGAAGAAUCCGGCGGGUGAGUUGGGGUCGGCGGGGUCGGAACCGGAGGCCAGCGGAGAGGGGUCGGGUCUCAGGGGUCGGGACCGGUCGGGAGGUUGAACACUUAGGCUUGGAAAACUAAGGCAGGUGAUCAGGGGCUCAGAUUAAGAUUAACUCGGGAGAUUUCGGGGUCGGUCGUCACACCCCUCCUCACCAAAUCUUAGAGACGAGUGACGCGCUAACCCCUCGCAGCGCUGGAGAGGAUCACCACUCGUGUGGCCGUGUGCCACGUCCGGAUCUACUCCCCUCACCGGAUAUUAACAUGAGUACGGUCGCCACCGUCGUCUUGCAACGCUGCCGCUGCCUCUGCCUGUUUAGACCUUGUUUAGUUUCCAAUUUGAAAGUGCUAAAGUUGUGAUUUUACCAUAAAUGCGCAACUGUAGCAUUUCGUUUGUAUUUGUGAAUUAUUAUCCAAACAUUGAUUAAUUAGGCUUAAAAAAUUCAUCUCGCAAAGUACAACAAAACUGUACAAUUAGUUUUUGAUUUCGUUUACAUUUAGUAUUCCAUGCAUGUACUGCAAGUUUGAUGUGAUGGGGAAUCUUCUUUUUGCAUAGUGUCAAAGUUGGGAGUUUGGAGGGAACUAAACAUGGCCUUGAUUAAGAAACCAUUGUGUCAGACCGGACGGAGUCUAGAGACCGUUACCUUGCGUAAGCACACGUGCACCGUUCGCUUGGGUUUCGGUUGCUGCGUUUCUAGCUUGAACAGCUUGGUCCUUCCGCUUGCUCUAAGCAGCUUACCGAUGAAAAUAAAUAAGAAUCCUGAUAAAUAAUUUGCUUAUUUUCAUCAAUUUUCACUUAUGUGGUAAGCCGCUUCAGAGAUUUAAACUACGAAAAGCGAAAAGCGAGAAGCGAGAAAAUCUUCGUUUAGAUUAUAAUCCAAGCGUGAUUAGAAGAAACGUAUCCCACCGCAUAAGGAUUAGUCGCCGCGUUUGACCGGAGCACUGUCUGACCGCAAGAAAGAUUAUGACGAGGCGAAGUCGCUUUAGGGAUUUAAACUACGAGAAGCGAAAAGCGAGAAGCGAGAAAAUCUUCGUUUAGAUUAUAAUCCAAACGUGGUUAGGAGAAACGUAUCCCACCGCAUAAGGAUUAGUGGUCGCGUUUGACCAGAGCACUGUCUGACCGGAUUAUGACGAGGGGAAAGUGACUCCGACCUAAAUUUCUCUUUUUUAACACAUGCAGUCAAGAACAAAAUGAUGAUAACUACUCUAACGGGCGUUAACAUAUAGUACAAGCGUACAGAUCAUGCUCUCUCCGAUAAGGCAUUUUAAGGUUUUAAGGCUGUUCGAAGCAAACCAUUUCGAAGUUUGACAAUAAGUAGUCUUUAUGUUGAGUUUGAAUAUUUAGAAGUUAUGCGAGUUUUGAAUGUUUAGAAGUUAUGCGAGUAUAUAUGUCUAAACACAGUUUUAAAAUAUGUGUACUUUCUGUACUGUACUGUAUAUUGGAAGAAAAAGUGGCGGUCAAAAUUUAAAAAGAUAACAUUGGACAGUCUGAAUGUGUCACUACUCACUAGUAGCCUAAGUGCCUGACCAAGACCUUGUUUAGUUAUCCUAAAAUCCCAACUUAAGCACUAUGCAAAAAGAAGAUUCUCCAUCACAUCAAACUUACGGUAUAUGUAUGGAGUACUGAAUGUAGACGAAAUCAAAAACUAAUUGCACAGUUUGGUUGUACUUUGCGAGACGAAUCUUUUGAGCCUAAUUAGUCAAUAUUUGAUAAUAAUUCACAAAUACAAACGAAACACUACAAUAUGCAACAGUGUUGACGCAGUGGACUAAACAGGGCGCAAAGGGAGUACUUCAGUUUAGGCCUCGACUUCUAGAGCAAAGACCCAGCUGAGCUCGGUCUUCCACUCAUCCACUGUACUUCGAGAAGGCAUUUCUCCACGAACAAGACGUUUGCGUCUGGAUGGAUCCUAAUCCGACGAAAAACCACGCACUAAUCCAGGAAAUCUUGAAAUAAGAAGCUUCGCAGCAGGAAGGACGGCUCGUGCCAGUCAACGGUAGGUGUUUAGCGUAGAAAAAACAGGGGAGCCCCUGCUCCGGCCGCAUUUGCUUACCGAGCGAAAUCGUCCCCCCUCUUCCCGCGCCCGCCGCGGCGGUCGAGCGCAGCCAACGCCACUCCACCCCACGAAACCCAAACCGUCCGAGCCAUCAGAUCAGACAUGGCACCGCCGCGCCGCGCUCGCGCGCGCGCCUACCUCCACCUGCUGCUCGCGGUCGUGCUGCUCCCCUGCUGCUGCCUCCCGCGCCGCGCGGCCGCGCAGUCCCCGCCGGCGGGCGAGGCGCGGGUGCUGCUGGAGAUCAAGCGCGCGUGGGGCGACCCGCCCGCGCUCGCGGGGUGGAACGCCACGGACGCGGCCACGCUCUGCAGCUGGCCGCACGUCGGUUGCGACGCGGCCGGCCGCGUCGUGAACCUCACCCUCGCCAACGCCAACGUCGCGGGCCCCUUCCCGGACGCCGUCGGCGACCUCACCGGCCUCACCUACCUCGACGUCUCCAGCAACAACAUCACCGGCGUGUUCCCGACCACGCUCUACCGCUGCGCUUCACUUCAGUACCUCAACCUGUCCCUGAACUACUUCGGUGGCGCGCUCCCGGCUAACAUCGGCAGCAGCCACGCCGCGAGCCUGACCACACUCGACCUCAACGGCAAUAAGUUUAAUGGCACCCUCCCGGCGUCGCUCUCCGAGCUACGGAGCCUCCAGUAUCUCGAUCUGAGCAGCAACAGCUUCACCGGCGCCAUCCCGGCAUCGCUCUCUGGACUCGGGAACCUCCAGCUUCUCGGGUUGAACGACAACCGCUUCACGGGCACCAUCCCGGCGGAGCUCGGCGAGCUCGCGAGCCUUCAGUCGCUGUAUCUGGCAAACAACCCUUUCGACGCAGGCCAGCUGCCGGCGUCGUUCAAGAAUAUGUCCAACCUGGUCAGCCUCUGGGCGUCGCAGUGCAAUCUCGUCGGAGACUUCCCCAAUUUUGUUUGGAGCCUGAAGAAGCUGCAACUAUUGUUUCUAUACACAAACAGCAUCACCGGCGACAUGGUCAUUGAUGGAUUUGCUGCGAGAAGCUUGACAAAAAUCGACGUCUCAGACAACAAAAUUAGUGGAGUCAUCCCGGAAGUGUUUGGGGGAUUGGAGAACCUCACAAUCUUGAACCUCUUCAUGAACAACUUCUCCGGCGAGGUACCAGCCAGCAUCGGCCAGUUGCCGUUACUGAGGAUAUUGAGACUCCACACCAACAGGCUCAACGGCACGCUCCCACCGGAGCUCGGAAAGCAGUCGCCGGGUUUGUAUUAUGUUGAGGUUGACUACAAUGAUUUCACCGGCGGGAUCCCUGAAGGACUGUGCACCGGAGGCAACUUCCACGAACUCAAAGCCAAGAGCAACCGAUUGAACGGCUCCAUCCCGGCAGGCCUUGCCAACUGCGCCACUCUUGGAACCCUGUCGCUGGACAACAACCAACUCACCGGCGACGUACCAGAGGCUCUGUGGACGGCGACGAAGCUUUACUUCGUGACAAUGCAGAGUAAUCAGCUCACCGGGACUCUUCCGGCCACGGUGCAUUUCAACAUUUCGACGUUACGCAUUGGGAACAACCAAUUCAGUGGCAACAUUCCGGCUGCAGUAGCUGCUCUCCAGGUGUUCACCGCCGAGAACAACCGGUUUUCUGGUGCGAUACCGGCGAGUCUUGGCGACGGCAUGCCGCUGCUGCAAAGACUCAGCUUGUCCGGGAACCAACUGUCCGGCGGGAUCCCGAGAAGCGUUGCUAAGCUAAGCCAGCUGACGCAAAUGGACCUGAGCAGGAAUCAGCUCACCGGCGGCAUACCGGCAGAGCUCGGCGCCAUGCCGGUGUUAAGUGUCCUUGACCUGUCGUCGAACAAGCUCUCCGGCAACGUACCGCAGGCGCUUGCGAAGCUACAACUCACCUCCCUGAACCUGUCCUCGAACCAGCUGAGCGGUCAGGUCCCGGCCGGGUUGGACACAGCGGUCUACGACACCAGCUUCCUCGACAACCCCGGCCUCUGCACCGCCGCUGCCGGAUCCGGCUACCUCACCGGCGUACCUUCCUGCGCCGGCGGAUCACAAGACCGCGCUUCCUCCGGAGGCGUCUCGCACGCACUCCGCACGGGCCUCCUCGCCGCCGGCGCCGCGCUCCUCCUAAUCGCCGGUGCGUUCGCCUUCUUCGUCAUCCGCGACAUCAAGAAACGGCGGCGCGUCGCGGAGCAAGACGACUGGAAG